UCUCCCACAGCCAUAUCGGUAAUUUCAUAAAAAAUUGCAAAAGUAUAAAAAAGGAGAAAGGGUUCUUAGGAGAAAGGUGUGUACGGAUAGAGGUUUCUGAUUGCACUUCGGCUCUGUUGAACCCCUCUCAUCUCUCCUCUGCAAUCGACCUCAGGUCUCUCUCUCUCUCUCUCUCUCUCUCUGCUUUUAGGGUGUUUAUUAUACUCCUAUAUUAUAAUUUUUCGUUGUUAUCGUGAAUUUAGUAGUUCUUCAAUGUUUCUCGAGGAAUUCUAGUUAAAUUUGGCUAGCAUUUACUGAUUAUUAAGGAUUUUAUGUUCGGCUUGACCAAUUAAUCCACUAUAUAUAUAUAUAUAGCACAAAUUAUGAAUGUAGAAAGAUCUCUAGAGCUUAUGAUCGUUGGGCUGAUUAAAUCUUCAGUAUCAAUGUGAAUUUUAGACCUAACAUAGCUCUGCAUUUGCAGUAAAGUUUAGCAAUUAAUUCCCUCAGAAUCUUGAGUGUUGUUGUUGCCCAAGUCAUGUUUAAUAGUGUUUUGAAAUCAGCUCAAGAGAAUGAUGGGAAUGCUUCUUAUGGACCUGGUAUAGCCCCAUGAUGCAGCGAAGAGGGUAUGGGAUGAACGAAGCAACAAGAACAUUCCAUCAGUAAACAAUAAUAAUUUUUUUUUCUGUAAUUACAUUAAAAUCAAUCAAAGGUUGAAUAGACAAGGUUUUACAACCUUGUCGAAGUGUUUCAUGUACUGGGUACCAAUUAGAAAAGGAAAGUCAUAAUAACAAAAAUGGAUAAAUGGAUAAAAGGUCAAUUAUAAAAUCUAGAAAGAAAAAGAAGUAUUCCUUGCUAGACCUCAAUUCUUUUCAAACAUGACAGAUUCCCAAAACUGAAGGCCCGAAGGCCCCAAAAGAAUGAAUUCAGCUGAAAACCGCCUUAGGUCAUAACGAAGAAGUGGGUUUAGAUCAUUGUCCAAUUUUACAUCGAACAUGGGUCGUUUGGGUCAAACCAGGAAUGUUGAAAGAUCACUAAAAUUACUGGUUUGCUACUCGUCUAUGAAUUGCUCCAAUUAUGUUGAGGUAACUAGGUCUAUGCUACUCAAACAUGAGAAUAAUUUAGAAAGCUUACCAGGGAUGAUUAUAUUAUUGCCAUUUGGUUGAACCCUAAUACAUGUUUAUUGCAAUAAUUUCCAUUUUCCAUUUGAUUACAAAAAUCCUCUGAUGUUUAUUGCAAUAAUUGACCCUACUGAAUGGAAAAAGCUGAAUCGACUGAACAAAGAGAAAUAUUUAUUAAAAAAUGUACAAGGUGAGAAAAGAAAUGUUUGUCCUCUCGUCAUGUGGGUGAGAAAAGAAAAGAACUGUUUGUGUUUUCUCACGAUUAUGUUUGUAAGGCUAAAAGAGCAAAUAAUGUAAAAUAGGAAUAUUUGGUGAGACUUUUUUUCCUUUGUAAUUUGAUGGGAUAUAUAGAUAUGAUGGAAAAUAUAACUUUUUUUGUUUUUCAUAUUUCUCACCAAAUCUCUCUCUUUUUGUAAGAACUGAAGUGACAAAACAUCAGAGUUCUCUUUCUGACCUAAUUUUACUACCCAAUGACGGAGAGAAUUCUGUUUCUCGUCUUUCUUACUAAAUUGCUUAAACCAAACGGACUAUUAACUUUUUAUUGGCCCCCUGUAAGAAAAUUUCAAGAGCUUCCAUGGAAGCUUCAAGCAGGACAUCAAAUUUUUAUCCUCAAUGCACGCAAGGAAAUUACAAUAUAAUUAAACGCUUUGUUUGUAGCUAUAUUGUUAAUAAUUGAACAUUUUCUCGUGAAUAAUAAAAUUGAAAUUAAAUGGAUUUUUAUGUUUUCAAAAUAUGUGGUUUAUUGUUAUAAAUACAAAUGUAAGCUGUAGCCUAGGGAAUCUUAUCACGGCAACACUCGUCACUCGGUCCCUUGAUCUCCUAGUGAGAUCAGAGGUGCAUGGGUUCAUGCUAACUGAGUUAAUCCAGUUGGUUUCUGACAUUUAAUUGAAAAGUGGAAGGCAAAAUUUAGAAAAUAUUCAAAUGUCAAACUUUACCCUUGUACUUAUCAAACUUGUUAUUUAAUUAAAUGCUUAAAUUUCACUACUUAUAUGACUAUUUUCCGGAUUAAAAAACUCAAUAUGCAGUUUUCAGUGCAUAAUUUUCAGUUUUUAGUUUUAUCAAACAUGCUACAUAUGCUUUUCCAUAACUUUUCUGCAGAAGAUGAAAGUUAAUAAGUUUAUGUAACUGGCUGUGACACAAUCACCAUAAUCUAAUUGCUUUGUAUUUUAGUUCUAUCUUUGAAUAUCUUCUUCCCAUACAUGAACAACAGCUCAAAGGAGGUGUUUAGCAUGCUGUUCGUAUUUGGUGCAUAGUUUAUGUUCAAGAAGCAGCCUGGUGAAAAGAAUAAAGCGAUACAUUGUUAUCUAUAAAAUAGCUUUAGAAAGGAACUGCUAAUGUUUGGGAUCAUUUCUUUCUCUUCAUUUGUUUCGCCUCAUUUGUCUACAACUUCAAGGUUUGCUCAUAUCUUUCAAGUUUUAAACAUAGCUUUAUGAUUAAAUCUAUUUAUCCAUUUUCUGUUACCCUAAUUCAAUUUGUUGGUAGCAUUGCAGAGUCAUUGUUAAGAUGGCUGCAAUGGCAACCAGAAACCCCGGAAUGUCAAUCGAAUCUGUCACUGUAAAGCCCGCUUCUCCCC
This 2670-nucleotide long non-coding RNA is filed under the name Actinidia chinensis (golden kiwifruit). Its description in RNAcentral is "long non-coding RNA (ACHI_LNC007946)". Lineage: Eukaryota; Viridiplantae; Streptophyta; Magnoliopsida; Ericales; Actinidiaceae. The record is from RNAcentral.